GCCUUGAGAAGCCAAAAUGAGGAAGUCACUGAAAAGUUUAGUAAGGAUAAUCCACUACUCUAAAAAAGAAAUUUCAUUUUCAUUUUAUUGAGUACUUCCAUAUUGAUGCUCCAAAAUCUCAAUCUGUAUACUUCAAUUUCAUUUGAGGUGACAUCACAGGUAACAUGAAUGUUUAGAGGUAUGUGGGACUACCAUUACUUCAGAAGAUGUGAGAUGAUACAGUACGUUACAUAUUGCAAUUCCUUUGUGAAGCUACAGCAGUGCUUGUUGAUCAUAAUUCUUCUUUUCCUUGAUAACCUAAUAUGUACUCAUCUUAGUCUAUCCACAUUUCACCUCCAUGAGCAUUUUGUGCUUGGAGAUCAAAGUUUUGAGUACGAAAUGGACAUUCGAACAAUCUUGACAGGUAUUUUACCUUUUCACAACUAAAUCUAGAUAUAAUGGACAAUAACAGUGUGAAAUCAAGUAAUCUGUGACAAACAACUUGUCUUUCAAGUCCACCAUGUUACUAAACUAUAUAUCACGAGCCCCUUGUACUCUUUGGCUUUGAUUUGUAUAUGUGACCUUAGUCCUGUAUAAUAGAGUGGGGAUCACCAUCCCAUCCAAAUAAGGUUGCAGAAUACAAGUGCAUGAACAUUAUUUAGCUUCCCAAGGACAACUAGCAAGACAACUUCAAUUCUCGUAGAAUAAUUAUAGACCAAUAUAUAUCAACGUAUCUUUUCAACUAUGUGUUUGUUCUUUUCUCUAAAACACAGAAGAGUUGUGCCUUAUUAUAUUAAGAAGAAAAAUGGCAAGAUCCCAAACAAUCCUCCCCGCCCACACACACCACACACACACACACACACAUCCCAAUAGAAAUGUUACAUUCAAUUCGUGGCAGUAAGAAAACACAGAAGGUGACAACUACUAGGCUAGUUAUUUCUAACUACUAGGGAGGAGGCAGUCAAGAAUGAAAACCCUCGAGCCCCAGCCAUAGACCAUACAUAGCGCUCCUCAUCGGCUAUGACCAGAGCGCCAACAUGGUUCGGAGUUGCUCCAUCAAAGACACACCUAAUCAACCUCAGUCUGUUACCCUCAAGUUAUAUCAAACCAGUGCGUAUCAUUUUCAAACCAUGUGGAGAAAAGGAGAGAUGACACCUAAAGUAGCGUCAAUCCUAAAGAAAUAUGAGAAUAGUUGGAAGAUGAUGAAAGUUGCCAAUUGAAUUAGCUCUGGAGAAGGAUGCCAAACCAUGAACAUAAAGAGGAAGAAACUGGAAGAAUGCAUACUUCUACAGAACAAAUGCCAGGCAAGAAACAUCAUUUCUACAAUCCUUGGUCUGAAAGUAGUUAUCGCAGGAACUGGAUGACAGAUGCUGUUAGAGCAACUGGAUUCUUCCAAGAUACAGAGUACUUCUCUCAGUUUGGGUGGUAUGUGGUUGAUAACCAUUGAUUUUUCAAGUUCCUGCAUGCCACAGUAUGGAGUCCAUGGGAAUGAUGCAGUCAGAUUUAGGCUUCAUACUCUGCGCUUCUUCACAAAAUGUGUUUGACACACAUAUAGCAGGCUACAAUUAUCAUAUAAAGCUACCCUUAAAGUCGGACCCUUAUAGGGGCUAUACAAUUUGUUCUUAAACCAUACUAUAUUCAUGAUUUUAGAAUGUGUACGUCCUAAUCACAAUUUGAAUUAGUCAAAUGUGCGCUGCUAAAUAUAAUUGGAAUUUGUUUUUGCUCCAGCUUGCUUGCCUGAGCAAACAUUCUCAUAACUUUUAAUUCCGACAUGUUCGAUCUCUUACAGAGUUACAGUUUGUACUCCUACAUGGGCCCAGAUUUCAUCUUGAGUGCAGAUGGUUAUAUGGUCACCCCUCAUGACGCACGAGAUUCAGUGGCAUUCCACAUGCUGAUUCGACUUCAACAAAAGGCAAGGGAAGACUAGGAGUGCAGCAUGUCUCGAGACAACCCCUGAUGCUGCAUCCCUGCUGAUACAAAUCAUCAUGAUCAUUUGACUAUAACGAAGACAUUCAGAUUAUUUAGUGCAGCAUUGUUGCAAACAGAGGCAUUAAGCACGCUUGUGUGUUCAUGGCAUGUCCAUGUGUGGAUUUCAUCGUUUUUGUGACUUGUAGACGAAGCAGCAUAGGCAUAUGUAACUUGAUCUGGAUAGCUACAACAUCGUCGGUUGAUUUGCUACAUGUUGUUGUUGUCUCUAGCACUGUUGUAUGGCAUGCAGGCAGGCUUCUAGUUGUGGUCGCAAGUUUUGUUCGUAAUGCAGUCUCAGUCAUGCUCUUGUUCUAGUUUAUGUUGGUGCUUCUGCGUUUCUUUUCAUGUUUUUUCUCAGUGGUUUAUCAUUAGUGCUAUGGUGAGUGUAGGCUCACCAAUGUAUUGUGAUAGCUUUCCUCAAAAAUUAAGUGCCCAAGCAUGGUUUUGAAAAAAAAAAAAUGCCAUCCACAAAAGGUCAAGCAAGAAUGUAGUACCAUUAAAUUCAUUUUGCUUCAUUAUAAACCAUUUGAGGUGUUCAUAUUUUAAGGGUGUUGGUGAUAAAUUUCUCGUCCUUUCCACAUGCAUCAUCUUUGCAGUGCGUGAUAUAUCAUACCUACGCUUAAUCUCUUGUAGACAUUAAACUAGAUACAGAAGCUAUAAUAUUCAUUUAUAAAUAAACGAGUCCAAAAAAAAGAUCGAAAAACAGCUAUAAUAGGCCACAUUUAUUUAAUGGGGAAACAAUAUAUGUUGGCACAACACGUCCAUAUAAAUUUGCUAACCGGCUGGGAAGCAACUCACGCCAAUCAUAUCUUUGCUAUUUCCAUGAUCAAUAAAAACUAGAGCAGAGAGUUCAAGGAUGCAGGAGAUUGUGGGACUCGUGGCAACUAGAGAUUUGAUUGCUUUGGUUGGAAUGGGUGAACUCAAUAACUAAAACUAUCUCCAACAAUAACACACAAAAUACAAGACUCAUUCAACAUUUAGAUAGUGCAACAAGCAAAAGGGUUCAAUACCCAUUCGAGAUAUUCUCCAACAACAAAACCCAAAAGAGAAUCCUUUCUGCACAUGGCUUUCCAGAAGAGAGGAUACUCAUAUUUAGGUUGUGCCUCUAGGCAACCUAAAAUUGGUCUGUAUAGGUACUCUGUUGGAAGCUAAUUUUAGGUCUCCUACUACCCAUGUUGGGUUUAGGUGCUCAUAUAUGGGUCACUUGUUGGAGACAGUCUAAAGAAGUGCAGUUAAUUUUCUUCAUCUUAUCCUUCUUGUCUUGUUACCUAACCAACAAACAAGCCAACCAAUGGUUAAGGGGAUGUUGGUUUGCGGGUAGGCCCGCAUCACUUGCAUCCUAACUUGGGGCAUUCGGAAUCCUUGGCUUCUACAAGCUGAUCCAUAACAUCGUUUCACUUAGUGUUGAUAUCACACAGCCGCCGGUGAACAUGCCACUCCUUUCCUUCCACAACCCGUUGCUAGCUGAUGGCGCUUGGGAAGAAGGCGCUGGGUAGCAAGAAGAUGCCUUCCCACCCUACGGUUCUUCCACCAGAUCCUGUGGCAAGACCCCCCUCCCACGAGCAAGAUGAUGGCGCCACGGAAGAAGACUCUCGAUAGCAGGAACACGCCUCCCCCCCUUCUAAGGUCCUUCCAGAUCACGCGGCCGCUAUGGAGAUCCUAGGUCCUUCCAGAUCACGCGGCCGCUAUGGAGAUCCUUCUCUAGACGCGUCACUAAUUAGUAUUUCUGGCAUAGUGCUGGUUUGCGGCUGCAGCCACUUGCCCCUCAGUUGUUUCCUCCAAAUAGGGAACCAUAGUACCUACCAUCAAGUAACCAGGACAGCUAUGACGGGAGGAAGUGGGAUCACGGGAGGCCGCAAACUUCCAAUGAUGUGACUUUUCGGUUUCAUCUUUUUGUGAAACUUCAUUUUCUUGAUUUAAUGAAACCCAAAUGGUAUUCUUAACAUUGAAUGGAGCUGAUUAAAAUUGUUCCCCGAUAAUAACUUGGCCUAGAAGUACUACAAUUUGAUGCUUGCCCAUGGUUACAACUGUAACUCCAAGAGAAAAAAAUCUCCAACAAGUCAAUCUCUACUAGCUCUAAGCAUACAUUUUCACUGUGGUCAGAGACAGUAAACUUGUAGCAGCAGUGGCCACCCUUUCUUCCAUCAGGCAAUUGAUGAUGGAACAAGGGAGGGAGGCACCUCAUGGCAUCAGUCUUGGCCGCCAGCUCAUCCCUGUCUCCCAGCAUGUGCCACCAGGUUCCAAGAACCUUGCCAAAAAUACGAUUUUUCUGUGUACUCUACAACUUUUGAGCCACGAGGUCCAAACAACAUUGCCACCAGUUAUGAAUUGUUUUUAUUCUACAACUUUGCAGCGUUUGUUUUUGUUUGACUUGAUUUAGAAAACUUAUGAUUUUUUUGUGUUACUAGUCUUUUUAGAAGCAGGUGAUAUUACCUAACAUGGAUGAAAUAUAAUUUUCAGAGGCGGUUAAUGUUAGUAACCAAUGGAGGGCAAUUUUAUUAGCAUACAGCCACCGUAGAAAUUGAUUGCCGAGGACGGUCUAUCUCUGGAACCAUUUAUAGAGGAGUUUUUUUUUUAUCGUCACAGCCUAAAGAAAAAAUAUCUCUAAAAAUUGCCUCACGGGUUGAACGGCUGAGUCCUCAGAAACUAUUAAAUUUUCUACUGAAUGGAAAUUACUGUGCAUACAACUUUUUUUUACAAACAUACGUUGGCACAUGUUUCUUUGAGAGGACAAGAACACAUUGAAUAUAUAUAUACAACCUUAACGACCAACCUCAAGCUCAUUACAAACAGGACAUUUUGCUGCUACCAAAAUAAAUCUGACACAGCUUAUUAAAUUCACUGCAAGACCAUCAGCGAUGUGAGAAUUCCAAAACCAUGCGCUGUCAAUCCAUCCAUUGAUCCCUUCCUCCAUUAUGGGCUCUAUAUAUAACUUGUUGAGCCAUUGCUGCUGUUGUUGGAAUACAGGAAGAUUUUGCAUGUAAUAAAAUUUUCCUUUCAUUAUAUAUUGCUUAUGGGUUUGUGGCAUGUAAAUUGCUGGCUAAACUAAGUCAACCUCUUUCCCCUUCUAUUGCCUUAAUAUGCAAAAAAAAUCCUAUAAAAACCUUUGUUAGCGUUGGUCAACUUGCCAUCAGCAUCCAUGUCUUCUUCCACAAUGCAAAACCCUUUUGUUGUAUUUAAACCUUUUUACGAUUUUAUGGGUCCUAUCCCUUUCAGCUUAUUCCAUUUUCUAAAAUCCCAUAUGGAAAACAUCCAAAUAAAAACACUCGCAUCAUGUCUUUGAAACAUCAAGCCUAGGGAUUAACCAUAGUUUUUCUUUCAUUUGCAGAACUGUACUGUAAAUGAAUGAAUGAGUGAUUGACUACAUGGACUUGAGAUUCAAUUCCCCAAAUAGAAUAGAAAUGAAAAGCAUUCUACCAAAUUUGCGAUGAAAACUAACAUCGAACAAUGCAAACUAACAUCAACUGCUAUAAGUUGCAAAAUGUAUGUUUUCUUUUAGCCAUCACCUUUUCCUUUGCAUCCACAUUCAGUUCUUGUUCACUCCUUGAUCCAUGUUCACAGGAAUCACAAUGCCAUGGCUGUUUUUUUUGUUUUUUUAGGAAACUGGAGGGGGCAUAUAUAUAUACUUCAUACAGGAGUUCCCAUCAGGUUUUUAAACUUUGUGAUGUCGGGUAUCUAUGAGGACGCCAUGGACCAGACGACACGUGGGUGCUGUUAAUGGAUGGGUAGCAAAUAUCCAGAAAGGACAGACUUCACUAUAAAAGGGCUCCUAACAGGAGAACAUGCAUGAAACAACAGAAGAUGCAUGCAUGGCCGCGUGGAUGGGCUGCUUUCAGCAGGAAGAAACACAGCUAUAGAGAGGAGCAGAUAGAAAUAGGAGGCACGAGGAAUCAUACAGAAAGGAAUAUAUUGACAAGAAGAUGCGCCCUGGAUAAUUUUCCUUAUUAAUUAGGAUUCCAAAUAAGAUCCACCCAGCAGGUUUGCUGUUUCUGUUGUCGCGGUGUGCCACUGGCUGUGCUGGCUAGUUGCAGGGUUGCCUUCUAUAUAUACAGUAGUCGCCUAGAGAUAGGUCGACUCCUCGUACCUGCUUGCAUGUCCAUUCUUUCCUGGUCCCUGCAGGUUAUCUCUAGUUCCCUAAGCAACAAGGCAACGACGCCAGUGUUGAAUAAUUCAUUCAUGUAAUACUGUGUCUCUUGUAUUUCUCAGUGUUAGUCCACAAACAACUUAGGACAUGUAUACAACACGUCUCUCAUAUUUCUUUGUUUCAAUAGCGCUGUCAUAUGUGCACCAAAUCAUAAUAGGACUGCAUUAGCUUACUUCAAAAAUUUAUAGUUUUUUAGCUGAUACAUAACCUACAAAAAUGUCACAACUGAAACACUAAAGCGAUUUUAACUCCCUAAUAGAAGUUUUGUUGGUGUUAAAACUUUUACUGUAGUGUCACACACUGAUGACGAACUUGUUUAAAUCUUGUUGGAUAUACUGAGUACUAAUAAUUUUGUACAAAAAUACACUAAUGGUUCCACAAAAUAAAAUAGACAAUGAGAAUUCAAGAUGUAACAAGUGUUUUAUCACUAGGAGGGUUCCACAAGGGUUGCCUUCUCUCACCAUGUUCGUGCCCCUUGCUCUCCAUCAUUUCUUCUUCCUAAAAUCCUGCUCCCGUGCAGUGCAGCCCAGCAUGAAUGCAUUCCCCAUGGAAGCCAACUUCCAAUUUCAAAGAGUAUGAAAUCGUCUACAAGCCAUGCUCAUGAAGCUCCAAGUCAGUUUGGCAGCAGUGGAGGCUCGAGGACUCAAAUCAUCGGCAGCCUAGGCACACUAGUACAGUGCUCGAAGCCAGCGGUGGAACAUAUCUUUUAUAGGCGGUUUCAAUUAAAGACGCCUAUGGAAACACAUUGGCUUACCCGACUAAAAAACCGCUAAAUCAAUUUUUACAGGCGGUUUUCUAACAAAACUUCCUGUAGAAAUCAUAUAUUUCUACAGGCGGUUCUCCUAAGAAACCGCCUGUAAAAAUCAUAUUUCUACAGGUGAUUUCUUAAAAACUGCCUGUACAAAUAAUUUGAAUUUGAAUUUUUUGAGCUUUUCAAAUGACCUCGUUUGAAAAAACCGUCAAAAUGAAAGUUGUAGAUCUUGAAAAGUUAUCAAACUUUGUUUGAUAAUUUUUCAUUUGAAAUCGUCUUAUCAUCGAAAACUACGUUUAAAUUUCUCAAAUUUGAAAUUCAAAUUUUAUAAAUGACCUCGGAUGGAGAAACUACCAAUAUAAAAGUUAUAGAUCUUAAAAAGUUGUAAAACUUUAUAGUUGACGAUUUUUCCAUUUGAAUCCGUUUUGGACCUAAAGUAAUCAAUGUAUACUUGAUUUAGGAUAAUAUGUGGGGAACUAAACUCUAAUAUAGACACAACUAAGUGAUCGGUGGAGUGGUACACGAGGCUACACGCGAGGGUGAGGUCUCAGGUUCGAAUCCCACCGGCCGCGUAGCACGCGAUUCUACGUGACCUGCCAGUGGGCCUUUCCCAAGAUUAAAAUCUUUUAAUUUCUUAUUUUCAAAAGCCGAUUUCAUAUUUUCUAAAAAAAAUUUCCACAGGUGGUUGACAUAACUGAACCGCUUUUCCACAGGAGGUUCUCAGUUACCCGCUUUUCCACAGCUGAGUUGAAUCACGGCGGCCAUGGCGGACCACCGUGACGGGAACCCAGCCUUGUGGCCAAUCUCGGUGAGGAGAAGCAACGCGAGCGAGUCGAGGAGAAGCGCAAAGAGCAUGCGAGGAUGUGUGCAUGAGCAAUUGAAUUGGAAGCAAGCAUGGACGAUGAAUUUGGUCGGCUACGAGAUGAGUACGGUGGUGGGCUGAGAACAGACAAAGGGAGGAGUGGCAGUGGCUUGGCGACUUAACAGUGUGAGCAAAGCUUCUGGGCGUUGCCACCACCAGCAUGGGCUCGCCAGGCAGGCAGCUGCGUGCAGCUCAUGCGCAAGGCAGUGCUAAGGUGGUGGUGGUCACGACGGCGAGCAGCCGAGCAGGCAGCUGAUGGUGAAGAGUUGAAGCUUCAUCUUCUCUCCCCCUUUUCUCAAGAUUUUCAAAAGAACAUGAUGAUCAGGUUCAAGCAAACAUGUCUCUGAGCUUAACAAACUUGCUUAAAGGAUCGACAUGAAAAUCUUGAUAGAUUGGAAGAUUUUAGAUUUUAAAAGAGAUACUUGAAACUGAAAACCAAACUUUCAGUUAGCGUUUUAAAAUUAUUUUUAGUUAGCAUCUUUGAUCAAUUAAUUAGUGGUCAACCAUCUAUCCAAAAUAACAAUCAAAUGCACCAUCUAUCAACAGGAGGGGUGGCUCCCUACUGAAAUUUAUUUAAGUAUGUGUGGUGGAGAUGACACUACAAUGAGUCAAAUCUAGAUAUCAAGUUUGCAGAGGCCUGUCACACUGUUGACCAUCUGAUGUCUAAGCGACUAGCAGAUCUAAUUGAAUGAGACAAGCAGUACUUUCUUUGUAACAUGAUUAAUCUGUGCCAUGAUUCUGCUUUUGUGUGCCAAGACAACCACUCUGAUGAGCACAAUACUUAUGCUUUGGGGAUAGCCUUGUGUAUGCCUUGGUACCCUCGAUGGCCUCGUGCACAUUCUUCGUAUUUCACCUGUAACCUAUCCUGAUCCGGAUUACUCUAAUAAUUCUGACAUCUUCCGUUCAUAGAGAGUUGAGUUCAGAGUGGUAGUGCCUCUUACAGUAGCCUGCACAGAUUUGCAUCCUUGUAACUUGGAAUAUCAAUAUUUUUUCUGCUGUAUAUAUACUAGUGCUAUUCUAGGUGUAGAGUACUAUUUCGAUAGCUUUGAUCCUCUCUUGCACGAUACUUUCCAGAAAAGAAAACCCAAGUUUAUGAUGCCUCACAAGGUCUGGUAUCCCCCAACUCUACUCAAGGUGGUUAAGAAGCAAGGCAUUCAAGUCCAAGAAAUUGAGAGCGCGGUGACUACCUGACCAACCUGAAGUUGACUAAAAAGAAGGGCCGGGGCGAUUGUCAAUGUCUCAGCUCAGGAGCAGAAUGCUCUGGCAACUUUAUGUAAGGCAGAGUUCGGUUUUUUGGGGUUGAUAGUGGAAAAAUCCACAGAUAAGUCAUCCUUACUGGGGAGGCGGCGAGUUAGUAGCUGUAGGCGGCAAAGCAACUUUGUUACCUAUUCUAUUAGGAACCGCAGAUUUUUUAGUCCAUCACAUUCACGCAUUUACCAUCCAUGUGACUGUAUUAAUACUUUUGACAGGUGUUUUAUUUGCUUGCAGUUCCCGUCUGAAACCUGAUAAAGCAAAUCUUGGCUUUCGCUUCCCUUGCGCCGGACCUGGGCAAGGGGGAACAUGUCAAGUAUCCGCUCCGGAUCAUGUUUUCUUGGGUCUAUUUCAGGGUCCUGGGUGUAGUCAUAAAUGGUACUGAACGUUGUUCGUACUGCUCAAUAUUUUUUCUGCUUAGUUUUGACUUACACCUAGGGUGUAGAAUAGCACUGGUAUAUAUAACUUGUAUGUACAAAUUAUAGACUAGCUUGCACGUAGACAUAUAUCAAGCUUUUACAUGUGCUUUCGACUUGGUGAUCACCCUAGCCAAGCUUGGUGAAGUUGAAAGCUUAGUAGACGAUGGUAUGGGCACCUUCAUAAGCUACAGUUACUCUUAUAUUGGACUGUCUAUUCACGAGAGUGAGACUAGACUUCUGGGAUGAUUACCUCUUGUAUAAAUGUUGUAACUUACGUUUGCUAUUGAAUCACAGUCCUUAAUAUAAAGUUGUUUUAUGCAAAUCUGGUUUAUGAUCUCCAUGUUAUAUAAUUUUCGAUUUUAGGGGUUCACAAAGUGAUAAUCUACAACUUGAUCCUGUGGUUAAAACUGGCAAGAGGAGGUUGCUAGCUCCAAUUUAAUGAUGAGAAAGAGAUAUAUGAGAAGAAAUUAAUAGACAUACCUAAGAAAAGAUAGAGAUAUAGAGAAGAAAUAGAGAAAGUGAUAGACAAAGAGAGACGAUAGGGAUAGGUAUAUAGAGAAGAAAAGAUAUAGAAAUAGAUAGCAAAAUAAACUAAAUUAAUGUCUUUUCAUGUCGUAUUGGUCUCUCUCUCUAUAUAUGUCAUUUAACAACUCAAGGCAUGAUGGUGUAAGGAUUAGGUCAGAUGAUUGACGGCAAAACAUGAAUAUGACUGACUGGUGCAAAGCCUUGGUACUUACAUUGCCUCUCUUUAUAUUCCUUGCACAAUGUAAGUUUCUCAUCCGCAGCAACUCGUUACCUUCAAAUUGGUUAUUGAUAUGCAUAUAUAUACUACAUCCUCAUUUACACAUAAUCUAUCUCAGGUCGUCCUCAUGAGGACAUCCAUGUUGGAAGUUCAAGGGGGCGAGCUGCUUUGAGCCUACUCGGAGAUCGAGAAACAUGUUUCUUGAAGCACCAAAAUAAUAGAGUUGUCUACUGCUGCCGUCAACACCCAACUACAUGUUAUGAAACAUUUCAGUGGUGUCUGGCCGUAUGCUACAAUCAUAAUUGCAAGUGGUCAGCUGCCCAUCCCGCCAAUGAUGCCUAAUCUGUGCAAUCUUCUCAAGGCCAUAUCACGAUGGUCUUAAAACCGUCAUUGUUAACAUAAAUAAUGUACUCCAGAAUGAUUGGUACUAUUAAUUGAAAGUUCUAUGCUUGUCCAUUGUUUUAAUUUGUUUCAUCAUUGUCCACUUUAGAUUUUCCCUUAUUACAAUUGUCAUGCAGAAAAUAUUAAUGAUACUAAUUGGAGAUCUCCAUCAAAUGUUCCAUGUUAGUCUCAUAGACCCACUAGGAAAAAAAGAAUUCAAAAAAUUCUGACAAUGACUAGAACAUUCUAACCUUAAUUCAGUAGACUAAUGGUCAUCAUCCAAAAACAUGUUUGUACCGUUGUAAACAUACAUAAAGCAACCUCUAAGUUUAUUACCCAUGUCUAUCAUUUUGUAGGCUAAUCUAUGGGGAACAAACCCGCCUGACAUGUAAAUUUUGUGAACAAUAAUGUUGCCACCACUUUAUCGGAUGAAGAAAUGUCCAAAACAAAAGUUAUAGAUCUUGAUAAGUUCUAAAAACCUCUAAGUUCAUGACUUUUUCAGCUGAAAUCAUUUAGUGUUCUAAAACGAUGUUGAAGUUUCUAUUUUUGAAAUUCAAAAUUCAAAUAGAUAAAACAAAAUCACAUAUAAUGAUGGAUAAAAUAAUAGAUUUAAGAACAUAACAAAAUUGCUAGAGCAUGAUUUUAGAUUUUAUAGAAAGAAUCAUUAAAUUUGAAGUUAGUAUGCAGAAGAAAAACUAGUUACUAGUCUUAGGCAGAGAUUAAAAACGGAAACCAUAGUUCUUCAACAGUUUUAAAGUUUAAUUUCAAACAAUAUUUUGAAGUAGUAAGUGAUGUCAAAUGAAAAUGUUAUCAAUUACAAACUUUCAUAACUUUUUGAGGUCUAUAAUUUUUAUUAUAGGUGUUUAUCCAUUCGAGAUCGUUUUGAAAAUUCAAAUUUUAAAUUUUAGAUAACGAAAUUAAUUUUCGUUAGACAGAAGAUUACAAAUAAAAAUAUUUGGAGAUCCAAAUGUUCUCAAAUUGAAAAAAUUUUGAACUUCGAAGUUGUAGAUCUCGUCGAGGACUACAACUUUGAUAUAAAGUUUGUCUUCAUUGGACAUCAUAUGAGAAACUUAAUAAAUUUUCUUGCAGCAUCACCGUCGGUUCAAGCCACGAACCAACAGUGAUCCAUUAUCACCGCCGGUUCUUACUUAAAACCUAGUGAUGUGAACUGACAGUGAAGACCCAAAUAUCACUGUUGGUUGGUCAUAUUACUGCUGUCAUAAGCCAAAAACCGGCAAUGAUGUACCGUGAAAGACUAUAGAUUUUGGUAGUGUGGUGCCCCCUCCAGAGGCUCACGCGCACGGGAGCAUGAGCCUCCCUCUACCGGCUCACUCACCUAGUUGAGGUCAGGGCCCCCGGUUUUGAGUAGUUGUGCACCCCGGCAACAAGGGGCCACGUGCCUUGACGGCAUGAGGCCGUGCGCGCCGACGGCUGGUUGCUGGGUAGUCCACUAGCAAGGGCCGCCGCACGCCCGGCGGCUACAGAGGCUGUGGCGGUGGAUCAGGCAGCAGGUGAAGCAACAGGCGAGAUGGGGCACAUUCGACGUAGGCGCGCUGUGGCCUGGCGACGAGCGCACAGACGGAUCAAGGCACCAGCGCGGCGGAUCUGGCAUAGGCGUUGCGAGCCAAGCUCCAAGGCAGUAGAUCCACGCGUGGCAGGCAGACCAAGGUGGGGGACACAAGGCGGCAGCACACUGGCUUCCCUCUCUGGUAACGCUGCUCCCCUUACUGGUGAUGGAUGCAGCCACGACAUGAGGCCUAGAUCGAGGCCCCAUCCAGGCUUGGUCUAGGUUUUAGGAUUUUUUUCAUUUUUAUUUGUAUUAACCAUUUUGGGCAAGUGAAUUGCCUCGAUAAAUUUUGAUUUAUCUGUGACCAUAAUGCUAAGACAUUUGCAAAAAAAACUGCCUCAGUUAAUGCUUUUUCGCCCUCCUUGCUUAAUCUUUUAUGUAGCAGUGAACUUAGAGACACCACAGCCAUAACCAAGCAAGGGAAGGAGGCCAUGCCCGGAUGCACUGUCACGCCACAUGAUGGAGGAGAGGGUCGAGUAUAGUGUGCCAUGUGUCAGAGGAGGAGGGGAGCAGGCCCCGGGAGAAGAUGCCACUUGUAGAGCACCUGGCGCGCCGCCACCUGUGGAGGGCCAUGCCCCAUGUGCUGCCACCACCAUUAGACGAGGAGGCAGGCCACACGCGCCAUGUGUUAGUGUAGGAGGGGGCUAACCCCCCCCCCCCCCCCCGAGAUGCUGCCGCUAGAGGAGGAGCCAGGUCCCAUGCGCUGCUGCCACCGGAGGUGGGAUGAGACACGUGAGACACUGCUAUUGGAGGAGCCAAGACCCUCGAGCUUCCCCCGCCAGAGAAGCAAUAGGUCCCACACGUGGUGCGCCAUGGAGACCGUGGCCACCGCCGCCGCCUCAUGGGAGGCCAUGUGCCGCUGCGGCUGCAGGCUGCGCUCGAGCUUAGGAUGUAGGAGGACAGGGCUCCAAACCCCAAGCCUUUUUGGGCCAUGCUCAAGAUUCACGAUGGAGAUUUGCAUGUGAAUUAAAACUGCCCAAGACUGAAAAGGCAGCCGUCGCAGUGGAGCCCGUCCGACGUACCUGACUACGUGACUACCUCGAGCGGAGACUCAGACAAAAAGCUUAUUUCCAGUACUACAAUCCAAACGCAAGCACAAGGGUGAAUAGCCUUUGGCUGCGGCCAACUCCUCAUGACAUGUCCCCUGUUGGACGAAAUAGUGUUUCCCUUUUCCGCCCCCAUGGCACCCAGCACCCUGCACAAAACAGCGGUCUCGCCUUCCAAUUCCUGCCAUCUCACUCCCAGGUGCCCACCUCCUGCCAGAAGCAGCGGCGACCCAUAAAGCCCCAACUACCCCCGCAGCACAAAACCCUAGCAGAGGCAGCGCGGGAUGCUGCUUGGGUUCCGGUGAUCUUGUGGAGGUAGAAGGCAGCGAAGCCAGUAGCGGUGAGGGGGUAAUGAAGCUGGAGGAUGCGGUGGAGCUGCUAGUAGUGUCGGCGCUACCGCUCGGCAAGGUCAUCGACCGGGAGGAGGCCCUGUGGUGUGAGACCCAGGAAGCCGUGGCGCGCCAGGUGAGCAAGCUUGUGCUUGACACAUAUAUCCCUCCUUUUUGCGGGUUGUGAUUGUGACGAGGUUGCGGUGGAUUGGGGUUGAGGAACGGACCAUGGCGCUUGCUUGCGCCUCCUCCCCAUUCUGGGGGUGGAUUUGGGUUGAGAAAAUCAUCCAUCUGCCGAGCAAAAGCAUAGCUCAGCGCUGCCGAUCUCCCGAUUCAGCCAUGGGCAACCUCAAUCGAACUUGGCAGGGUUCUGUUCUGACUCGGUUGUGGUGGAUUUGGAUUUUCAUGAUGCGAUUUGUUCCAUGGAUUUGGUCGCACGACGUGCUACUGCUACGUACUUGGGGUUGGGGCAUCCGGAUGCAAGCGCUGCCUGGAAAUAUUUUAUGCAGGCUGUGCGGGUGCCGUGGCAGGGGCAAAAGUGGGCUUGGUCGCCAGUGCCCUGAAACUAGUGUAGCAGGGGUGGCUGGGGCUGUGAGGGAAGGUUGGUGCAGUGACCAGCUCUAGGUCGGCCGUGGAGGAGGACUCGACGGCAACACACAUCAGACCAGCACGGAAUCUCGGCAGUUGAUAGACUUUUCUUUUAUGGCAACGGCAGAGACUUCGCCUGUUUGCCACUUAAUGUUAGCACGAUGGCCUGAUUCAGUCUGCAAUAGAAAAACAAGUGGCCCACUGUUCUCCAACAGGUCUUUUUUUGGGGCGGGCUAAGGACGUGCUGGUUUGUGGGCAGGCUCGCGUCACUUGCUUCCUAACUGUAUUCAGAAUCCUAGGCUUCCAUAACAUUGUUUCGCUUAGUGUUGAUCACACACUUUUUUCUUCUUUCUUUCUUUUUUAUUUUUGCAAUUGUUUAUCGAGCUGCAGCUUUUGUAGUUGCUCCACCAUAAUAUAUGGAGCUUAUAUAUUAUGUCUUAUUUGUUUCAUGCUUCUGGGUUUUGGAAUUCACUUCAGUUUUUUUUGCAUUAAGUUGUCGGCGACUUACCUCACUACGCCACCAUGGAUGUGGUUUUGUUGUUGCGCAGGUCCACACGACAGUUCUCGUGUAUAAUUACUACCACCAGAAGCGCUUCCCGCUGCUUGAGUAUGCCAGCCACGAUCUGUUCUGCAUGUCCACCGCCCUCACCAACAAAAAGCUGCGCUUAUGUACCUGAACCAUCUCGAGAUGAUCAUGUCGCCCAUCUCCAAGGUCGUUGUUCUAGUUCUCAAUCGGACGAAGAAAGUUUGCUUGCUAGAGCGUGGAUUCCAAACCAAGGGCAUCUGGUCCUUGUUUGAGAAAGAUAUCAAGACUGACGUGUCAAUGCAGGGUCUAGUAUUAAAUCCAUGGCACUUCCUCUCCUUAUGAAGUGUACGUCAGAUUGCAUAGUUUUCUUCUUGAACAUACACUGCAUUGUAUGUAUGCACAUGCACCCUUAUUCCUUUCUUAUUACUAUAGAGCAACUAGAUGCCACCUUGUGGCUAGUGGCUACAUGUCCAUGCUUUCGAGCAAAAGCAAGGAGGCCAGAGGCAGACACGACUCACGAGGCACCACCACACAGGGCAGGUAUGCUCGGCAGCCGCUGUCCACCACUUCACCCUUUCGCGGGCUUGGUGCCUCACGGCCUCACCCAACCUAUGCAAGGACGAGGAGUACGGGGCCUAGCCCUCACCCUGCCUUCAAUCUAUGGGUGGAUUGGGGUGCUUGGGGCUACGGAUGCAAGUAGUACGGGCUGCGUGCCAAUAUUUUUUGCAGGCUGUGCGGGUGCCUGCUACACAAGCCCUUCUUUUUCCUAGCAACAGGGUCCUCGGUAGCCAGAGAAGUUGAUGAUUUCUUCUUAGCCAGUGCAGUGACAGGGAAAAACUGAGCUUGGUCUCAUGCACCGACACCGCAGCAGGCACCACGGGCAUGAUCGUAGGUGUAGUAGGGAUGGCCGGGGCCAUGAUGGUGGGCAAGUGGAGGAUUUCAGGGGCUUUGUUAAUUGCCCACUUUUGUUAGCAUGGUGUCCGCUCCAGUCUGCAAUAAAAAACAAUUCACUCGUGGGUAUCCAGCGGGUCCUUUUUUUGUGGUGCAGGCUAAGCAGGUUUGCGCGGACAGGCUCGCGCCGCUUGCAUCCUUACUUUGGGCAUUCGAAAUUCACAGCUAGCUUCUACAGGCUGAUCCAUAACAUUGUUCCGCUUGUGGAGUUGUGGCUUGGUAUAGCCUUGCGGGAUGCAAGCAGGACAGCCUGUGUCAAUAUUUUUUGCGGGUUAUGUGGGUGCAUACUACACAAGCACUUGCAUCAUCAUGGCAGUGGCACAGGUUUGGAGCCAGAGCCUGCAAAGCCCAGUUAGCACAUUGUCAGCAGCCAGAGCAGCAGCGGCUGUGCCCCUCUUCCUAGAGAUGGGGGCCUCGAUGGACGAUAUCUUCUUAGCCAGUAUGGUGGCAGGGGCCAAAAAUGGGCUUGGUCUCGAUCGAGCGCUAGCGUCCCAACAGGCAUCAUGGGCAUGGUCUCAGGUGGAGCAGGAUUGGCCGGGGCCAUCAUGGCGGGCAAGUGGAGGAUUUCACGAGCUUUGCUGCUUGCCCGCUUUUGUUAGGAUGAUGGCCUGCUCUACUCUACAAUACAAAAAUAAGUGGCCUUCGGUUGUCCCGGAUGUUUUUUUUGCGGGGCGGGCUAAGCAGUUUUGCUGGCCCGCCUGUGCCGCUUGCAUCCUUGGGGCAUUUAGAAUUCACGGCUAGAUUCUACAGGCUGAUCCAUUAUAAUGUUCAGCUUAGUGUUGAUCACACUUUUUUUUUGCAAUUGCCGAUCGAACUAUGGCUCUUGUCUAGAAUGAGAUAAAUAACCAUAGAUGUUUCAACUUCAAAUGAAAAAACAGGCGUAAAGAGCUGUUGGUGUUGGUGUUGGUGACACCAACAACUGUAGAACCAGCAAAAACAGAAAGAAGAAGAACACAAACCGCAAAAGGAAAUUUGAAGCCUUCAAGACUAAAGAUGCUACCUACGCAGAGCACGGGGAUUGUCAGAGUCCCAUAAAAGACUUUCAAGCCAGUAAGUCUAUCAAUCUUAUAGUACUCCAUUACUUCGAUUUUACUGAUCCAUUGUUGUUUCUCCUCUUCAUUAUGAUAAAGUCAAAACAUUUCAAGUGUGCCACAAGAUAUAAUUCUGGUAAAUAACUCUGUAUGAGCCUGAGAAAAAGAUGCGAUGAAAUCACACGUGAUAAGCUCAAUAGUAAUUAAUAUAUGCAAGCUUACUUGUUAAACCCAAACUUAAAGUUUUUUUUGCAUAAAAAUACUUCAACUUAAAGAAUUAAUUGUCUUUCAGACACUAGAUGAUGAUCCUAUAAUUGAAGCCCAUGUCUUGAAAAGCCAAAAUGAGAAAGUCAGGGAAAAGUCUAGUAAGGACAAUCCAAUAUACAAAAAAAAAGAAAUUUAUUUUUCCUUUUUGUGAGUUCUUCCUUAUUGAUGCUCCCAUUUCUUAAUCUGUAUACUUCAAUUUGCAUUUCAGGUGGCAUCACUGUUAACAUGAAUGUUCAGAGGUAUGCGAGACACUGCAAUUACUUCAGAAGAUGCGGUUCAAUUCAGUAUGUUACAUAUUGCAAUUCAUUUGUGAAAUUACAACAGUGCUUCUUGAUCACAUUCUUCUUUUCUUUGUUUACCAAAUUGUGUACUCAUCUUAGUCUAUCCACAGUUCAGCUCUGUGAGCAUUUUGUUUUUCUCGAAAACGCAGGAGAGCUGCGCUUCAUUAUAUUAAGAAGAAAGAAAAGGGCAAGAGCCCAAGCAACGCUACAACACACACACACACACACACACACACGAACCCACACUCCCCCUGAUUGAGUCUAGGAUCACAUUAGCGCCCGAGACAAAACAGCACAAGGCGACCACUACAAAAUAAAAGACUCUUCUAGCCACCAGGGAGGAGGGCAGUCAGGAAUGAAAGCCCUCGAGCCCCAGCCGUAGACCACAGGCAACGUUCCUCACAAGCCGCAAUCAAAGCACGACCCAAGUUUGGAGCUGCUCCGUCAAAAACGCACCCAUUGCGGUGGUUCCAAAUAGUCCAAGCUCCAAGGAUAAUGAGUGAGUUAAUUCCUUGCUUCGUCAACCCUAAACCCUUUGGCACUCUGAACUCAGCCUAUAUCACUCUCCUUCCUAAAAAGGAUGGUGCUGAUCAGCCUAAAGAUUUAAUAUAUAAGGAUGAGGACAAGAAUAAUGCUAUUUAAAAUAGGGCCAUGAUGGGUCCAUUCAGAAGAUUUAUCAAUGAUCUUGCUCUCAAGGAAAUUCCGUUGCACGGUUGCAAAUUCACGUGGUCAAAUCAGCAGGUUUCCCCUACGCUGGUGAAGUUAGACAGAGUCCUCUGCUCUGUGGACUAGGAGGAUAUAUUUCCUAAUUGUCUGCUUCAGAGUUUGGCUUCGGAUGAUUCAGAUCACUGCCCUCUUUUGCUUGGCCUGCGGGAUAGCACUCCGGGACAUCGCAAGUUUCAUUUUGAGUCCUUCUGGCCCAAACUUGGUGGUUUUCAGGAAGCCGUUUCCUCAGCGUGGACCUCUGUUCCUGCCGGUCCUUGUCCUUUCAUAACCUUGGACAAGAAAUUCAAGGCUACCACCAGAAGUCUGCAGAGAUCGAGUGACCGAAUGGUUGUCCAGGUGAACUUUCAGCUUGCUUUGGCUAGGGAAAUUUUACACCAUAGUCGCCAAUUAUCCCAUUUAGAAUUAUGGUUAAAAAAUAGUUUAAAAAGCACAGUCUGGCUCUCGCAUCCCUCCAACGUACCAUGGCUCGGCUGCGCUCAAGGAUUAACUGGCUCCGUGACGGGGAUGCAAAUACAAAGCUGUUUCACCUUCAUGCCCGUCAUCGGAAAAGAAAGAAUUUUAUUGGGAAAAUUGUGUCUGGUGAGCAUAUCUGCACUAGUCAUGAAGAUAAGGCUGCAGCUAUUGAUGUAUUCUAUGAAAAUCUAUUGGGUAAAUGUGAUGACAGGGAGUACACUAUCAAUUUAUUUGAACUUGAAAUCAUUUCACAUGACUUUGCUGAUCUCGAGCUCCCAUUUAGUGAGGAAGAAGUGUGGAAUACAAUUAAAAUGUUACCUUCAGACAAAGCUCCUGGACCAGAUGGCUUUACUGGACGUUUCUAUAAAGCUUGUUGGCCCAUCAUAAUGAGCUCUGUGAGCAUUUUGUGCUUGGAGAUAGAAGUGCUGAGUACGAAAUGGACAUUAAAAAAAAAAUUUGACAAGUAUUUUGCCUUUUCCCAACUAAAUCUUGAUAAAAUGGACAAUAAUAGUGUGAAAUCAAAUGAUUUGUGGCAACUUAUAUUUCAUUCCACAACGUUACUAAACAUAGCACUAGGGCUUUGUUCUCUUUGGCUUUGAUUUGUAUAUGUGACCUUAGUCACGAAUAAUGGAGUGGGAAUCACCAUCCCAUCCAUAGGCUGCCGAAUACAAGUGCAUAAACUUUACUUAGCCUCCCAAGGUCAACUAGCAAGAUAAAUUUAAUUCCCCUAGAAUAAUUGUAGACCAAUAUAUGUCAACAUAUCGUGUUACUGUGUGAUUGAUUUUUCUCUAAAACGCAGAAGAGCUGCACUUCAUUAUAUUAAGAAGAUAAAGGGCAAGAGCCCAAACAACGCCACAAACACCAUACACCCCCCCACACACACACUAACGCCCCAACAGAAAUGUUACAUUCGCAGCCAUAAGAAAACACACAGGGUGACCACUGCUAGGCUAAACAUUUCUAACUACCGGGGAGAAGGGCAGUCAGGAAUGAAAGCCCUCAAGCCCGAGCCAUAGACCAUAAAUGGCGCUCCUCGCUGGCUAUGAUCAGAGCGCUAGCAAAGUUUAGACCUGCUCCAUCGAGACACACCUAAUCAACCUCAAUCUUUUACCCUCAAGUUAUAUUAAACCAGUGCAUACUAUUUCAAACCAUUUGCUGAAAUGGAGAUGUCACCUAAAGUAACAUCAAUCCUAAUGAAAUAUGAGAAUAGCUGGAAGAUGAUGAAAGUUGUCAAUUGAAUUAGCUCUACAGAAGGAUGCCAAACCAUGAACAUAAAGAGGAAGAAGCUGAAAGAAGCCAUACUUCUACGCAACUAAUGCCAGACAAGAAACCUCAUUUGAUGUAUAAUAUUACUAUGGCUGCCACUACAAUCCUUUGUCUGAAAGUAGUUAUUGCAGGAACUAGAUGACAUAUGCCGUGAGAGCAACUGGAUUCGUCCAAGAUACAGACGACUUCCUUCAGUUAUGGGUGGUAUGUGGUUGAUAAUCAUUGAUUUUUCAAGUUCCUGCAUACUAUAGCAUGUAGAGUCCAUUGACCAUAUACGCAUCAGAAUGUUGCAGUCAGUUCUAGGCUUCAUAUUCUGUUCUUCUUCCACUAUAAAGAUGUUUGACACGCAUAUAGCAGGCUACAGAAUCAUAAAGCUACCCUUGAAGUUAGACUCUGAUAGGGUCUAUACGAGUUGUUCUUAUACCAUACUAUAUUCAUGAUCUUAGAAUGUAUACAACCAAAUAACAACUUGAAUUAGUCAAAUGUGCGCUGUUAAAUAUAAUCAGAAUCCCUUUUUGCUCCAACUCGGUUGCCUGGGCAAACUUUCUCAUAGCUUUUAAUUCCUACAUGUUUGAUCUUUUAUAGUUUGUACUCCUAUAUUGGCAGAUAAGUACCUGGCCAGUGUCCAGCUUAUGGGCCCACAUUUCAACUUGAGUGCAGAUGGUGAUAUGGUCACCCCUCAUGAGGCACGAGAUUCAGCAGCAUCCAGCAGGCCAUCUCGGCUUCAACAGAAGGCAAGGGAAGACUAGGAGAGCAGACCGGACAACCCCUGAUGCUGCAUCCCUGCUGAUACAAAUCAUCCUGAUCAUUUGAUUAGAAUGAAGGCAUUCAGAUUAUUUAGUAAAGCAUUUUUAUAAACAUAGGCAUUAAGCACACUUGUUGUGUUCAUGGGCAUGUCCAUGUGUGGAUUUCAUGGUUUUUUUGUGAUUUGUGCAUGAAAGAGCAGAUGUAAUUUGAUCUACAAAUUGAUUUAUUUGGUGACAGAAGGAGUAAAUCUUGAAACAGAAGGAAACAAAUGUGCUAGCAUAUUAUACUUGAAAAAUUAAGUAACAAUGGUUUAUCUAGGUAAAUUGCUAUUGUUGCUUCAUUUGUCUAGUAUAAUACGUUGAAGCACAUUGGGAUUACAAAAAUGAGUCUGGUUGGGGUUGAAUAGGUGAUCUACAAAAUGUAGACAACACUUUUGAGUGGAUAAUUACUUGUUGCUCAAUUGUUUUUGCAUCCAACUGAACAACACAAAGGUAAGUAAACCACAUACACUAGACAAUAAUAGACACAAUAGCAAGAAGAGAGAAUAUCAACAGCUUAACUGGGAGCAACUACAACAAUCAGAAAGUAUGCUAAUAUACCUUACUCUAGCAGCAACUACAAGAAGAACUAAACCAACUUACUAUCAGGCCACAACUACAAGUCUACAACUAGGCUACCAUUAAUUCCAUUAAGAUAUCAACUUGGUUAAGUGACCAAAGGAUGUAGAUGAUGAUCUCUAAGUAAAGUCCUUUGCUUGUUCGUACACUCACAAGUUCGCAAGACAAACAACCGGUGAAAGCGCAGUGGUGGCAAGCCCAAAAUAAUCACAACCUCAAUGAACUCAAAGAGACAAGCCAAUGUCCUACUUGUUGGGAUGGUCACAGAGACUUAUUUUAAUACUUGCCUCUCCUGGCAUUCACCAAUUUCAUGUUUGAAUUUCCACUAUGUUUAUGGCAAUUACAAACUUAUUGUUCAUAAUCAUGUCUUGAAGUAUUGCUUGUAUAAUUCCUAUUCCUAGAGAACCAAAUUUUUUAACAAAAGCAUGAUGAAUCCACCUUGAAGCUACUUGUAACUCGGACAUGGAGGUAGUUCAAAUAGUUUCGAGAGGUGAGGUGGUAAGAUGUCCAGUUUUGAAGUUUGAGAAAAAGGAUACCACAAAAAGUUCAGAGAGGUAAAAGAGACUUGUCCGAUGUACCAAUAGCUCAUCAUCCUUGUGUGUCCAACCAAUUUUAGACUAAACACGAGUAGUAGAUUGUUAUCCUUGCUGGCUCAACUUAGCCAAGAUGUUUCCAGUAUUGUUCCCCCAUUGGUUAUACUUUGAUGUGAUGGUUCCCUUGAACCACAUCAAGCCUAGUUACCUAUACACUUAAGUCCAAAACUCCUAAGUCCUUUGUGAUCCAUGUGAACUAUCAAACCAUCUGAUUGAAUAGGUUUGUUUCUAGUAUAUAUGCUCUCAUUUGUUUUCCAUGAGCACUAGACAUGGGAUGGAAAUAUUGUAUACCAUACACUACUAUAGGAAACAACUUGUCAAAAUGGCUUUUCCCUAGCAGGUAGCUAGUCCUCUUGUGCCAAAAGGCCAUCGAUCACUGGUGGCCUGAUUUGCUCAGUGGCAGCCGGAUCCAUGCCCCAGCGGCCGCCAUAUGGGCAGAUCUGCUCAGUGGUGGUCGGAUCCUAGUUCACGCUGCUAGAUCCAAGGCUAGGCUGCCAGAACCGGGCAAGGGAGGGAGGCCACAACUGUUUGUGCUACACGCCCCACGAUGUAGGAGAGGGUCAGACCCUACAAGAUGCUGCCGCUAGAGGAGUCAGGUCCCGUGCGUCACCACUGCCGGAGUAGGGCCAGGCCCUACAAGAUGCCGCUACUGAAUGAGGAGCCAGACCCUGCGCGCUGCUGCCACCAAAGGAGGUUCAAGCCCGAAGAGACAAUGUCGCUAGAGGAAGAGCCAAGACCCGCAUUCUGCUGCCGCCGUAGGAGGACCAGGCCCCGUGUGUGGAGGAGAAUGUAGUGCACUGCAGUGACCACGACCCUGAUAGGUGGUCGCGCUGCCACUCAACCACCACUCAGAUGGCCAUGUGCUGCCACCUCCCCCUCUACUCGAGAUUCACGGCGGAGGAGGAGAGGGCUCUAAACCAAGUCUGUUUUGACCCUCAUCAUGUGUCAUGGUGGAGAUUUCCAUGGGAAACUGCUCAAAAUUCUAAAGCAAGGGUACUACAUAGUGCAGCCUGUCCAUUGUACCUGUUGACAACCUGACAACCUGAUUCCAUCCAGCGAUGAUUUAUGAAACCUAGUGCGGCAAUGUAUUGACCCCACAGCCAUAACUGAGCGAGGCACGGAGGGCAUGCCCAAAUGCACUACCACGACACGCGAUGGAGAAGAGGGCUAGCCCAGUGUGCCAUGCAUUAGAGGAGGAGCGGGAUGGGUCAUGUGAGAUGCCGCCGCUAGAGAAGUAGCCGGGCCCUGCAAUGCUGCUGCUAGAGCAGGAGCCAGGCCUCGCAUGCCACCGCAGAUGUAGGAGGGCUGGGCCACGCAAGGCACCACCAAUGGAGGAAUCGGGACCCUCACGCUCCCCUGGAUAGAAGAGGAACAGAUCCUGCGCGUGGAGGAGAACGCUAUGCACUGCGGAGACCAUGCAUGGCCACCACUGCUCCGCUGCCAUGCAGGAGGCCAUGUGCUGCUGCUGCCUUCUUCGUUCAAGAAUCACUGUGGAGGAGGAGAGGGCCUCAAAUCCUAAGUCUUUUUGGGCCCUGCUCAAGAUUCAUGGUGGAGAUUUGCAUGCACUAAGAAACAGCUCAAGGCUCAUAAGCCAAGCGUCGCAGCACAACUCAGACAAAAAGCCAGUUCCUAGUACUACAAUAUAGAGUUAUAGACACAAGCACAAGGCCAGUUAGCCAGGCAGCCAGCCUUUGGCCGUCCUUGUGACAGGCCCCGUGUUGGACAAAACAACGUUUCCCUUUUCUUCCCCCACGGCACCCAGCACUCUGCACGAAACAGUGGCCUCGCCUUCCUAUUCCUGCCAUCUCACUCCCAGGCUCCAAGCUCCCAUCAGAAACAGCUGCCUCCCAGAAAGCCCCAACUACCCCUGUGGCACAGAACCCGAGCAGAGGUGGCACGGGACACUGCUUCGGUUCCAGUGAUCUGAUGGAGGUAGAAGGCAGCAGCGCCAGUAGCAGCAAGGAGGUAGUGAAGCUGGAGGAUGCGAUGGAGCGCUGCUACUAGAGCAUCUUGUGGUGCCAUGCCAGUGCUGUUGCUCGGCCAGGUCAUCGACCAAAAGAGGAGGCCCUAUCGGCGGAGACUCAGGAGGUCAUGGCUCAUCAGGUGAGCAAUCUUGUGUUUGACACAUAUAUUCCUCCUUAUCGUGGGUUGAGAUUAUGACACGGUUGUGGUGGAUCAGGGUUGAUGAAUGGAACAUGGUGCUUGCUUGCGCCUCCUCCCCGUAUAAGUUAUCCGUCCGCCGAGCAAAAGCAAAGCGGCAGAGCCUCCCCAUCCGCUCUUGAUCUUAAGAUCUGGAAAUGGGCGACCUCAAUCAAACUUGGCAGUGUUCUGUUCUGAUUUGGUUGCGAUGGAUUUUGUUUUCCAAAGCGAUUCAUUCCAUGGGUGGAAUGGUGGAUGUGGAUUUGGGUCGCGCGAAGCGCUACUGAUGUACUGCUACAUGCUUAGGGCAUUUGGAUGCAAGCAGCCUGCAUCAUGCAGCGCUGCCAGCCGGCUACACAAGCGCUUUCAAACUACAUGGCAGGUCAGGUGCCAGAGCCUGCCUAGUUCUUCUUAGUGACAGAGCAGCCGGAACAGGGGCGGAUACGCCCUUCUUCUUCCUAGUGACGGGGGCCUCGGCAGCCGUAGUGGAAGAUGAUUUCUUCUGUCACCGGUGCCACAGCGGGCCGGGCACCACGGUUAUCGCUGCAGCUAGUGGGGCAGGGGUGCCCUGGGCCGUGAGGCGGGGAAGGUUGGUGCGGUGACCAGCUCAAGAUUGGCCUUGGUGGAAGUCUCAGUGACGCCCAUGCACCUCAGACCUGCAUGGAAUCUCGUGAGUAGACAGAUUCUUUUUACGGCGACGGCAGAGUCUUCGCGUGUUUGUUGGUCUGUGCAGGAUUUCACGGCCUUUGCUGGUUGCCUACUUACGUAAGCAGGAUGGUGGCUUCUGUCUGUUAGAGUAUAUAUGAUAGAGUCCAGGUACAAUGUAACAUAGAUAUAGGAAUGUAUAUGUGAUUGAGAGGGAUUUGAUGAGUUGAACGAGAUAACCCCUAGGUCUCUCGGCUCCGUGUUUAUAUGGGCAAGGAAGAGCCCCUUGCGUGGCUUACAAUAGUCAGGGAUUUGUGGUUACAACCAAUCCUCCACAAAUCCCUCUCAAUCACAUAUACAUUCCUAUAUCUAUGUUACAUUGUACCUGGACUCUAUCAUAUACUCUAACACUGUCUGUAAUAUAAAAACAAGUGGCCCGUGGUUGUUCAACCGGUCUUUUCUGCAGACUUAGUGUUGAUCCAUGACAUUAGUGUUGAUCACACACUUUUUCCCUUUCUUUCUUUUUUAUUUUUUCAACUGCCAGUCGAGCUGUAACUUUCAUCCUGGCUCCAUCAUAACAAAUAUUGUGACUUAUUUGUUUCAUGCAUUGGGCUUUUGGUAUUCGUUUUUUGUUUUUUCCAAAAAAUUGUCAGCAACUUUCCUCACUACACCACCAUGGAUGUGGUUUUGUUCUUGCGCUGGUACACGCGACGGUUCUCCUGUAUAACUACUACCAUCGGAAGCAGUUCCUACAGCCCUGAAUGGUUCUGCAUGUUUGCCUCCCUCACCGUCAACAACAAAAAACUUCUCAUGUACCCGAACAAUCUCCAGAACCGAUAUGUCGAGAGGCGGGUUCGCGGUUACUAACAUGGCAAUCCUUCUCAAUCGGACAAAGAAAGUUUGCUUGCUCCAGCGUGGAUUCGAAACCAAGGGUGUCUGGUCCAUGUUUGAGAAAGAUAUCGAGAUUGACAUGCCCGUGCAGGGGUCAAGUAAUAAAUCUAUGGCACUUCCUUCUAAAGUGUACGUCCUUCAGGUUGCAUAUUCAGAGGUGGAUAUGAAAACAGAUUGGUGCAAUUUUUUUUGCGGGCUGUGUGGGUGCCUGCUACACAGACAGGGGCCUCAGUAGCUCUUAGCUAAACUAUUCCAUAAGUUAGUUAAGUUAUUUGUUCAGGAGUCGUCUAGAGUCAAGAUAGGGAACGUGCCAGGUUGGAGGCGUGCUCAACCUGGACACGGUCUGGUCGAGUCGGUUGGGUUCGCACCACGGUGCGCGCUGCAGCGCGUGGUGCACGCCACGGAAGAUUGGCGAUGCACACGGUGAACAUGGUGCGGAGAUACGCGGAGGCAUGUUCCGUGAUCUCAUCAUGUAUCCCAAUAAAUACAAACAAAGCAGGACCGAAAAACGCUGCAAUGGCAGCAACAAACCCUAGACUCUUUGUUCUCAUCUGUUAUCUCGCCACGGUCACCACCGUGCCGCCGCCGCUGCGUUCUAGCUCGUCGCAGGGCAUUGCCUGCGCUAACAACUAGUAUCGGAGCUUGGGAGGGCGGUGAGAAGCAGCCGAAGAAGAGAAGGGGUGAUCAAGAUCACCAGAGUCGAGCAGGGAAGUAGCCGGAGUCGUCAAGGAUGGGUACGUCGGAUGAUGACAAGGAGAAGGAAGUCAUGGAGCGUGCGUUCAACCAAGCGGCUGGAAAUCUCGUCUGGCUAACGUUGACGCGGACGAAUUAUUAGAAGUGGGCAUCUCAUGUCCAAUGUAAUUUCGAGGGGAUGUUCCUUUGGGAUGCAAUAGUGGAUGAGAAAGUCGAGCGACGCUGGGACAAGCUGGCUCUUGGAGCCAUGUUCCGCAGUGUGCCGGCGGAGAUGCAUUCUAUGCUCUUGAAGAAGAAAAUCGUGAAGGAGGCUUGGGAGGCGCUUAAAACUAUGCGUCUGGGAGCCAAUCAUGUGAAAGAAGUCAACGCUUAGAAGCUUCUCGCUGAAUUCGAGCAGAUCGCGUUCAAGCCGGAAGAAGCCAUCGAUGAUUUUGCCAUCAGAAUCUAGAAGCUAGCCAUAGACAUGGAGGGGUUAGGUGAGAAGAUUGAUGACUGCCCCACCGUCAAGAAAUUCCUUCAUGUGGUACCGACACGUAACAAUCAGGUGACCGAGAUGUUUAGUGACAUGAAGACUCUUACCAUCGAGGAGCUCGGUCACCUACGGGCGGCUGAAGAUCGCUUCGAACCAUCGGUGGAACAGGUCACUGAGAAGGCGCAAAAGCUCCUGUUAACUGAAGGGUGCAGGAAUCAUCCUCGACAUCGAGUCAGAAGGGUGGCAAUGUGGCCGCUAUGUCCGCAAGGACAAGAUUGGAGCACGAGGCGGAGGUGACGCGUGAGACUCUAGAGGCAAACUCACGUCCAUGGGAACGCCGAAGCGUCGAGGGCGUUGCAACAAGUGCAAAAUCUAUGGGCACUUUGCAAAGGGAGUGCAAAACUAAGAUGAAGGAGGAGAGGCACGAGGCCAUGCAUCAUGCCGCUACUGAUGUGGAGACUGGUGCGCUGCUAGUUGCCCAGGUGUGCAACGUGACAAGCACACAAGCGCAGCCCUCUCAUCGAAUGUUUCUGAGUCAGGAACGCGUAUUCCCGGUCGGGUACAAUGAAGGAGCCUGGAUCCUUGAUACUGGGGCCACGAACCAUAUGACGGGGAGUCGCAACGCGCUGGCCAGUCUCGACGAAAUCGUGUGUGGUGCAGUACGGUUUGGGGACGGCUCAACCGUGGAGAUCCAAGGAAUUGGAGCCAUGGCAAUCGCCAGGAAGAACGACAAACAUCGAGUCCUCACGGAGGUAUACUAUAUCCCAUCUCUGAAGUGUAAUAUCGUUAGUCUUGGACAGUUGGAGGAAGCAGGAUGUCGUGUCGAGAUUGACAUCGGCGUCAUGGAGGUUUUCGAGCGCCGACAGGCUGCUCAGCAGCAACUUGGCGUCUUGAUCAGGGCGGAGAGAAAGAACCGGCUGUACGUGAUGAAGCCGAAGCUAACUUCGCCCGUGUGUUUACUGACCAAGAUGGAGGACGUCUCAUGGCUUUGGCAUGCCAGAUAUGGGCACCUGAACUUCAGGUCGCUCAGGGAGCUCACGGCUAAAGCGAUGGUGGAAGGGCUGCCCCGGAUCAGCGGGGUAGAGCAGGUGUGCGAUGGCUGUGUUCUUGGCAAGCACCACAAAAGGCCGUUUCCACAAGCUUCAGUGCACCGCGCUGAAGCUGGGCUUGAACUUGUCCAUGGUGAUCUAUGUGGACAGAUUACAGCAGCAACCCUGGGUGGCAAGUCUUAUUUUUUAUUAAUAGUUGAUGAUUUCAGUCAGUAUAUGUGGCUUGAGUUACUAUCAACAAAGAGCGAAGCUUUAGCAUAUUUCAAGAAGAUCGUUCUGGCAGCAGAAGUGGAAUCAGGCCAUCGACUGAAAGCAUUCAGAACAGAUUGUGGGGGUGAAUUCAAUUCGGGUGCAUUUGUGACUUUCUGCAGUGACCACGGCGUGAAGCACAACACCACGAGACCCUACACGCCUCAGCAGAAUUGGGUGGUUGAGAGGCGGAAUCAGUCUGUCGUUGAGAUGGCACGCUGUUUGCUGAAAGCAAUGAAAGUGCCAGCUAAAUUUUGGGGUGAGGCCGUCAACACAGCAGUGUUUCUAUUAAACAGAGCCCCAACUAAAAGCUUGAAUGGGAAGACGCCCUUUGAGUCAUGGUUUGGAAAGAAACCCGGUGUCAGACAUCUACGCACUUUCGGAUGCACUGCAUAUGCUAAAAGGUUGGGACCCGGGGUGAAUAAACUUGCUGACAGGUCAAUCCCAGGAGUUUUCCUUGCCUAUGAGCUAGGUACCAAUGGGUAUCGCGUUUAUCAUCGAUGAGAAGAGGCGUGGAAUUGGGAGGAGCAAGGCAGCAGCGUGAGCAAUGGAGUAUCAGCACCCGACACGUUCAUGGUUCAGUAUUCAGAUACUGUACAUAGUCCGACAAUAGAGCUUGAUCCAGGAUUGGAUGCUGAUUUCAGCAGCGGUGCACCGUCUCCGGGUCAAUCUGCUGCACCAAUUCCACCUGAGGGAGAUAUGGGUGGAUCACCACCACCACAGACUCCGGUCUCUAGUGCAGGCCCAGGACAUCAAAUCCAAUGGGCGACACCUCCAACUGAUGCAUCUGUAGGAACAGAUGAAGCACCGAGUAGGUACAGGACUGUGGCAGAUCUGUUGGACUCGACAGAAAUUAUGGAGAAUGUUGAGUGCAGUGCAGUAUGCCUAGUUGCUGCAGGUGAACCGAGUUCAGUGGAGGAGGCUAUGACUGAAGAAUGCUGGAGAAAUGCCAUGAAGGUAGAGAUGCAGGCCAUAGAAGACAACAGAACCUGGAAUGUUAGUGAGUUGCCAAAAGGACAGAAAGCCAUUAGACUCAAAUGGGUCUUCAAAUUGAAAAAGGAUCCAGAGGCAAAGGUAGUCAAGCAUAAAGGAAGGUUAGUCGCCAAGGGUUAUGCUCAAGUGCAGUUAGUGGAUUUUGAAGUGGUUUUUGCACCAGUUGCCAGGAUAGAAACAGUAAGGGUGUUAUUGGCCCUAGCAGCAAGGGGAGGUUGGGAAGUUCAUCACAUGGAUGUGAAGUCUGCUUUUCUCAAUGGUGAUCUGACAGAAUCAGUUUAUGUGAAGCCGCCUCCUGGUUUCAUUGUUGGCACAGGUGACAAAGUUUUGAAGCUCAGAAAGGCACUGCAUGGCUUAAGACAGGCACCAAGGGCCUGGAAUGCUAAGCUUGAUAAAGAGCUAAUUGCCCUAGGCUUUGCAAAAAGCAAGUUGGAUCAUGCUGUAUAUAGAAGAGCCAACAAAGAAACUUUUCUUAUUGUAGGGGUGUAUGUCGAUGACCUGAUAAUCUCAGGACCAUGUGUCAGAGACAUUCAACAGUUCAAGUCAGAGAUGAAAACAAAGUUCAGUGUCAGUGACUUGGAUCUUCUUAGCUAUUAUAUGGGGAUAGAAGUGAAGCAAGAAGGAAAUGGCAUUACACUGAGUCAGAGUGCAUAUGCAAACAAGAUCUUGGAAUUUGCAGGUAUGAUGAACUGCAAUGCAAUUGCCAGUCCAAUGGAUUCUAGGCUCAAGCUCUACAAGAAAAUGGAGGAUGAAGUUGUGAGGCCAACAAAAUACCGAAGUCUGAUUGGCAGUCUUAGAUACCUUGUCAACACCAAACCAGACAUGGCUUAUGCACUGGGCGAUGUCAGUAGGUACAUGGAGGCGCCAAGUCAAGCUCAUUGGGGAGCAGUGAAGCAAAUCUUCAGGUACUUGAAGGGUACCAUGGAUCAUGGCUGCAGGUAUGAACGAGGAACUGAACUGAAACCCCUCUUGCUAGGGUACAGUGACAGUGAUUUCGCUGGAGAUGUUGAGGACAGGAAGAGUACCACAGGAGCUGUUUACUUUGUUGGUGGCAAUGUGGUUACUUGGUCAUCUCAGAAACAGAAAACUGUUACACUCUCGUCAUGUGAAGUGGAGUAUGUAGCAGCAGCUACGGCAGCCUGCUAAGGAGUCUGGUUGAGUCGACUUGUUGGCGACAAAGGAGGCGUGUGUAAAGCUGCUCAUGGACAACAUGUGUGCAAUCGCCUUGAGUAAGAAUCCGGUGCAUCAUGAUAGAAGCAAGCACAUUGACACAAAGUUUCAUUUUAUCCGGUAAUGCAUCGAGGAGGGCAAGGUGGAGGCAGAACACAUUGGCACGAUUGAUCAGCUGGCCGACAUCUUCACCAAGGCCCGGGGGCGAGCAAGGUUCAUUGAACUGAGGAGCACGAUCGGCGUUGUUAAGGUGCAAUAGGUUUAGGCGGUGAACUGUUAGCUAAACUAUUGCACAAGUUAGUUAAGUUAUUUGUUCAGGAGUCGUCUAGAGUCAAGAUAGGGAACAUGCCAGGUCGGAGGCGUGGUCAACCUAGACACGGUCUGGUCGAGUCUGUUGGGUUCGCACCACGGUGCGCGCUACAGCGCGUGGUGCAUGCCACGGAAGAAUGGCGACGCACACGGUGUGUAACAUGGUGCGGAGAUACGCGAAGGCAUGUUCCGUGAUCUCAUCAUGUAUCCUUAUAAAUACAAACAAAGCAGGACCGAAAAACGCUGCGACAUUUGACAGCAACAGACCCUAUACUUCCGCGGUCACCACCAUGCCGCCGCCAGUGCGUUCUAGCUCGUCGCAGGGCAAUGCCUGUGCUUACAGUAGCUAGAGAAGACGACGAUUUCUUCUUAGCCGUUGCGCUGGUAUGGGCCAAACUGUGCUUGGUCUCGAGCGCCAGCGCUGCGGCAGACACCAGGGCACGGUCGCAGGUGGAGCAGAGGUGGUCGGUGCUGUGGUGGCGGGCAAGUGGAGGAUUUCGCGAGCUUUGCUGAUUGCCCACUUUUGUUAGCAUGAUGGCCCACUCCAGUCUGCAAUACAAAGACAUGUGGCCUGCGGUUGUCGAGUAGGUCUUUUUUGUGGGGCAAGCUAAGCUGUUUUGUGGGCAGGCCCUGCGCCGCUUGCAUCCUUGGCGCAUUCGGAAUUCACGGCUAGAUUCUACAGGCUGAUCAAUAACAUUGUUCAGCUUAGUUUUCAUCACACACUUUUUCCCUUUUUUUAGCAUUUGCCAAUCGAGCUAGGGCUCUCCUCUAGAAUGAAAAAAUAACCAUAGGUCUUUCAACUCCAAAUAAAAAAUCGCAGGUAGAGAUAGCAGUUGGUGAUAUUGACACCAAGAACUGUAGAACCAGCAAAAACAAAAAGGACAACAACACCAACCGCAAAAGAAAUUUUCAAGCCUUCAAGACUAAAGUUGCUCCCUACGCAGAGCAUGGGGAUGGUCAGAGCCCCAUAAAAGACUUUCACGCCGGAAAGUCUAUAAAUCUUAUAGUACUUCACUACUUCGAUUUUACUGACCCAUUGUUCUUUCUCCUCUUCAUUAUGAUAAAGUCACUUAAUUUCAGUUGUCCAAAUGGACAAAAACAGAACAGAGAACAACUCAAAUGUUACAAAUGUGCCACAAGAUAUCAUUCCAGCAAAGAACUCUUUGUGAGUUUGAGAAAAAGAUAAAAUGAAAUCACACGUUAUAUUUCUAGUUCAAUAGUAAUUAAUAUAUGCAAGUUUAUUGGUUAAACUUCAACUUAAAUAAUUCUUUUAAAUACUUCAACUUAAAGAAUUAAUUAUCUUUCAGACACUGGAUGUUGAUCCUAUAAUUGAUGACUACGCCUUGAAAAGCCAAAAUGAGGAAGUCACUGAAAAGUCUGGUAAGUUCAAUCCAUUACCAGACUAAAAGAAAUUUAUUUUUCCUUUUAUUGAUUACUUCCAUAUUGAUGCUCGCAAAUCUUAUUCAGGUGGCAUCACAGGUAACAAGAAUGUUCAGAGUUAUGCGACACUACAAUUACGUCAGAAGAUGCAAGAUGAUACAGUAUGUUUUUUUUGAACGACUGAUGAUACAGUAUGUCACAUAUUGCAAUUCAUUUGUGAAGUUACAGGCGUUGAUCAUAAUUCUUUUUCUUCUUGAUAACCUAAUGUGUACUCAUCUUAGUCUAUCCACGUUUCAGCUCCUGAGCAUUUUGUGCUUGGAGAUCGAAGUGCUGAGUACGAAAUGUACAUUCAAACAAUCUUGACAGGUAUUUUAACUUUGCAGAUUUAGAUGAAAUGGACAAUAACAGUGUGAAAUCAAAUGAUUUGUGGCAAACAACUUGUCUUUGCAUUCCACAACGUUAAUAAACAUAGCACGAGGGCCUUGUUCCCUUUGGCUUUGAUUUGUAUAUGUGAACCUUAGUCCCGAAUAAUGGAGUUGGGCAUCACAAUCACAUCCAUACAAGGUUGCAGAAUAUAAGUGAAUGAACAUUAUUUAGCCUCCCAAAGACAACUAGCAAGAUUACUUCAGUUCCCUUAGAAUGUAGACCGAUACAUCAACAUAUCUUUCAACUAUGUGAAUGUUUAUUUUCUCUAAAAUGUAGAAGAGCUUCACUUUAUUAUAUUAAGAAACACCAGACACAGACACACCACACACCAAACACAUCACACACACACACACACACACACACGCACAUACACACACACACACACACACGCACACACAUCUCUGCGCCAACCCUGAUCUCUAAGACUUAAUCACCAGAUUCUAAGGAAACAACGACCGAGCGGGCUAAAGAACUAGAAGCCCCAAGCAGUGAGCAAGGAGAGACCUUUUGCUCCUGCCAAGUACCACCAAUGGGCUUCAUUUCUAGCCAUACUCAGGGCUGUAACAAUGUUUGGAUCAGCCCCAUUAAAGACACAGUAAUUACGGUGUUUCCAGAUGCUCCAGGCCCCAAGGAUGAUGAUGGAGUUUAAGCCUUUUCUUACAUCCCCAGUGGUAGCUGCUUCCGCUUUUUCCCACCAGUCCUCCCAAGACGAAUCAUUGGGCUGAGGUGUUAGUGAAGAGAGUCCGACACGCUCCAAGAGAGAAAACCAGAACUACCUAGCAAAAAUGCACCUAGUCGGUGCUGAAUGUUUUCCUGUUCCUGGUCACAAAGCAGACAUUUGUCUGGGUGGGGAAGUCCUCACCGAGCAAGCCUGUCAGCAGUCCAACACCAGUCACGGGAGACCAGCCACAUGAAUAUUAUACCAUACUAUAUUCAUGAUUUUAGAAUGUAUACAUCCUAAUCACAAUUUGACUUGGUUAAUAUAAUUGGAAUCUCUUUUUGCUCUAGCUUGGUUGCCUGGGCAAACAUCCUACAUGUUUGAUCUUUUAUAGUUUUUACUCCAAUAUUGGCAGAUAUGUACCUCGCCAGUGUCCAGCUCUUGGGCCCAGAUUUCAACUUGAGUGCAGAUGGUGAUAUGAAGGUCACCCCUCAUGAGGCACGAGAUUCAGCGGUAUCCAACAUGCUGUCUCGGCUUCAACAGAAGUCAACGAAAGACUAGGAGGUGCAUCACUGUUGAUACAAAUCAUCUUGAUCAUUUGACUAGAAUGAUGACAUUCAAAUUAUUUAGUCGAGCAUCACUUGUGGUGUUUGUGGGCAUGUCCAUGUGUGCAUUUCAUGGUUUUUUGUGGCUUGUACAUGAAGGAGCAGAAGUACUUUGAUCUGGAUAGCUACAACGUGGUGUGUUGACUCACUACAAGCUCUUGUUAUCUCAAGCACUGUUGACUCACUAUUUGUGGUCGCAAUUUUUGUUCAUAGUGUAGCCUCAGUCAUGCUCGUGUUCUAGUUUAUUUUGGUGCUUCUGCGUUUCGUUUCUUGUUUUUUUAAAUCAGUGGUUUGUCAUUAGUGCUUUGGUGAGUGUAGGCUCACCAAUGCAUUGUGAUUGCUUUCCUCAUCAAAUAAGUGCAUAAGCAUGGUUGUGAAAAAAAACACAUGCCAUCCACAGAAAGUCAAGCAAGAGUGGAGUGCCGUUAAAUUCAAUUUUGUUCAUUCUAAACCAUACUUUUGUGGAUGACAUGAUUUAGAUCAUUCUAAACCAUUUUUGCGGGGUGGGCUAGGCAGUUUUGUGGGCAAGCCCAUGACUCUUGCAUGCCUAGGGCAUUCUCAGCUAGAUUCUACAGGCCGAUCCAUAACAUUGUUUAUCUUAGGGCCUGUUUGGCACAACUCACAAGUUUUUUUUUUGCCAAACACUUAUUUCUAAAACAGCUUCAUGGGUGAAGCUGUUUUUCUUCUCCUCUCACAAAGACAAGAGUUGGAAUGAAGCUAAAAAAGUAGCAUAUUGCAGCUCUUUCCCUUAUUCUCUCUCCCAUCUAUGCGGAAAGUAAUUGAUGAAGCUAUUUUACCAAACACUUUUUGCAAAACAGCUUAGCUUCAUCUAGAAAGAUGCUCAUGAAGCUAAUUUCUAAAAGACAGCUUUACUAUUGAAGUUGAGUUUUGCCAAAUAGAGCCUUAGUGUUGAUCACACACUUUUUUUUGCAAUCGCCAUCAAACUACGACUCUCCUCUAGAAUAAAAAAUAACCAUAGUUGUUUCAACUCCAAAAAAAGCAGGUAGAAAAAGCAGUUGGUGAUGGUCACACCAAGAACUGUAGAUCCAGCAAAAACAUUAAUGACAACAACACAAACCGCAAAAGAAAAUUUGAAGCCAGUAAGUCUAUCAAUCUUAUAGUAAUUCAUUACUUUGAUUUUACUGAUCCGUUGUUGUUUCUCCUCUUCAUUAUGAUAAAGUCACUUAAUUUUAGGUGUCCAAAUCGACAAGAACAGAACAGAGAACAACUCUAAAAUUAGAAAUGUGCCGAAAGAUAUCAUUCUGGUAAAGAACUAUUAUGAACUUGAGAAAGAGAUGCAAUGAAAUUGCGCGUGAUAUUUCUAGUUCAAUAGUAAAUAAUAUAUGCAAGUUUAUUUGUUAAACUUCAACUCAAAGAAUUAAUUGUCUUUUAGGCACUGGAUGUUGAUCCUAUAAUUGAAGACCUUGCCUUGAGAAGCCAAAAUGAGGAAGUCACUGAAAAGUUUAGUAAGGAUAAUCCACUACUCUAAAAAAGAAAUUUCAUUUUAUUGAGUACUUCCAUAUUGAUGCUCCAAAAUCUCAAUCUGUAUACUUCAAUUUCAUUUGAGGUGACAUCACAGGUAACAUGAAUGUUUAGAGGUAUGUGGGACUACGAUUACUUCAGAAGAUGUGAGAUGAUACAGUACGUUACAUAUUGCAAUUCCUUUGUGAAGCUACAGCAGUGCUUGUUGAUCAUAAUUCUUCUUUUCCUUGAUAACCUAAUGUGUACUCAUCUUAGUCUAUCCACAUUUCACCUACAUGAGCAUUUUGUGCUUGGAGAUCAAAGUUCUGAGUACGAAAUGGACAUUCGAACAAUCUUGACAGGUAUUUUACCUUUUCACAACUAAAUCUAGAUAUAAUGGACAAUAACAGUGUGAAAUCAAGUAAUAUGUGACAAACAACCUGUCUUUCAAGUCCACCAUGUUACUAAACUAUAUAUCACGAGCCCCUUGUACUCUUUGGCUU
Molecule: long non-coding RNA, 35128 nt
Filed under: Sorghum bicolor (sorghum)
Lineage: Eukaryota; Viridiplantae; Streptophyta; Magnoliopsida; Poales; Poaceae
Description: long non-coding RNA (SBIC_LNC014889)
Source: RNAcentral